This 252-nucleotide ribosomal RNA is filed under the name uncultured bacterium. Its description in RNAcentral is "partial 16S ribosomal RNA". It matches the Rfam family "Bacterial small subunit ribosomal RNA", at positions 524 to 776 of the family's 1533-position model. The record is from RNAcentral.
UACGGAGGAUGCGAGCGUUAUCCGGAUUUAUUGGGUUUAAAGGGUGCGUAGGCGGAUCGUUAAGUCAGUGGUCAAAUUGAGGGGCUCAACCCCUUCCCGCCAUUGAAACUGGCGCUCUUGAGUGGAAGAGAAGUAUGCGGAAUGCGUGGUGUAGCGGUGAAAUGCAUAGAUAUCACGCAGAGCCCCGAUUGCGAAGGCAGCAUGCCGGCUUCCGACUGACGCUGAAGCACGAAAGCGUGGGGAUCGAACAGG